AAGUUUGUGCUUUCCAGUUCUUUCUAGCACCGUUUGUGCUUUCCAGUUCUUUCUUGCACCGCUUCGAUAAGCAGCUGCCGCCCGUUUUCGUUCAUUUUUUCCAGUGCUUUCCAGUUUCACUUUUCCAGUUGUUAUCUUCUUUUUAUCACCGCUUGCACCGACUGUUGUUAGAUUUGGAUUUAUUUUUUUCUCCGUUUUCCACCGCUUGCCGCUUUGUAUAAAUUCAGUCAUCACGUUGUUUUAACAUUCUCAAAUCAGGUUCUAAAUUUGCCUCUCAGCUCUCAACUUUCACAGAUUUGAAUAGAUCUAAUUUAUGGAAAUGUUCAGAAGCUGAAGUAUGUGAAACCUGCCAGAUCGUUUGUAAAUUUUGAAAUCAACACGAUAUUGAUGAACCUCACUUUCAAGGAGCAGCAAGCUCUAUACAUAAAGCUUGGGAAGAUCUUGCAGGAGAGGCUUGUGGGAAAGUCUUAGAUAUGCAUGACCCGUGUCUUGUUUGUUGUCCUCUUUCUCCCCUGCAUGUUAUAUGCAAGGUGGCAUGAGGACGAAAGAUAGAGGAUUAUAUUUGUAUAUGGUGCCAUACUCUUCCUUCCAUUCUCUUUGAAUUUUUUAUGUAAACUCUUUGCUGGGUUUGUUGAUGGGCCUGGAGGUUGUUAAGAAAAAGGAGUAGGGGAAAUGGAAAAGUUAAUCUUUACCCUCAUUUUCCUCAAAGGUGUUUAUAUUUUUUCCUUUAGUUAAUCUGAUUUGUUGGUUUGUUUCUUGCAAGGAAUUUGGACUUUUUGGUUUGAAGUUUAUGCUGCUUUGAGGUUUGUAUAUGUCUAUUCAUAGUUCAUAAUUCAGGAUUUUAUUUUACUUUUUUAGCUUUUUACUUUGUUUACUCCAAUGUUUGGUCGCUGAGAAAAAUAGAGGAAAAUGAAAAAAGGUAAUAUCAGUAAUGAAAGUGUGGUGUAUCUUUGUGUUUUG
Juglans regia (Persian walnut) is the source of this 960-nucleotide long non-coding RNA. RefSeq lists it as uncharacterized. NCBI's taxonomy places the organism in Eukaryota, Viridiplantae, Streptophyta, Magnoliopsida, Fagales, Juglandaceae. The record is from RefSeq and is a predicted model, not a curated record. The transcript has 3 exons.